This 71-nucleotide transfer RNA is filed under the name Marmota monax (woodchuck). RNAcentral's name for it is "tRNA.Ala". It matches the Rfam family "tRNA". Rfam says of the family: Transfer RNA (tRNA) molecules are approximately 80 nucleotides in length. The record is from RNAcentral. Lineage: Eukaryota; Metazoa; Chordata; Mammalia; Rodentia; Sciuridae.
GGGGUUGUAGCUCACUGGUAGAGUGCUUACCUAGCAUGUAUGAAGCCCUGGGUUCGAUGCUCAGCACCACA